AUCAGAUUUGAAAUGAAGGAACAGUGAUUGAAAAAACAUGAACAAGUCUGAGUAAGAUAUUUUUUGUGAAGAAUCUCUUUGAGCACAUAGCCCUCUCCUGCUCCAACUGUCCUAUAACUGAGGUCUAUCUCAGGCUGAGUUCAAAAAAGGAUGCUGCACUCUAGGGUCAUCAGCUUUCAUCAGCUCUGCUCCAGAAGUGUGAGGAAUAUCUCUUGAGCUCAGUAUCUGGUGAUCCAACAGACCUUUAAGGAUGAAAGGCAUUGAACACAAGUUGCUGUUAUUAAGACUUCUGAAAUGUGAAGAUACUAUUAAAGGAUGUGGUCAAAUUUCCCUAGGCAAGAAGAAAUUCUCCCUUCUCUUUGGCUCCCUGCAAUUGGAUGUUUAUAAGGUGCUUGUAGCUGGCUGAUUCUCUCCUCAGUGUUAAAUCCCACUUUAAUGGUAAUGUUCCUUUUUGUUGGGUGAUUUUUAUUUAAUUUCUCAGAAAUUACUUUUACUGGGCCGUUCCCAGUGCUGCUGGAUGCCAGAUACUCUGUCUUAAUCAUUUUCUAUUGAUGGGUCUUCUCUUGUACUUGAGGGUCAGAGAUGGACACUUCUUCAUGACUGAUGUUUUGCCAUACAGGAAUAUCAGUAUAUGAGGGUUGAAAUGAACCAGGAUGAAGGGUAGAGGACUGGAUUGGCUCCAGGGUAGAAAGGUCAUCCAAGGUUUUAUAAGCUUGUACCUGUAGUGCAUUUCUCAGCUGUGACUCACGAGCAACCAGCCAGCCUGUUCACUCCCAGGACACCAUUCUACAUUUGGAAACCUCCUUAGCUGUAAAUAUGUCUGAGGUUUACUGUGGAUCUGUCAGUCACUGACCAGUCAGGACAGAUGUUCACAAUUAUUUUCUCAGCAAAUAUAGUCAAAAAACUGCAAUAAAAAAUAUGAAUAUUUUCUGUGACCAGCUAAUCAUUUAGGAAUAACAGAAUCAGCAGUGUUAGUCUUGGAAACUUCUAGUUAAAACUUAGUCAUUUGAAUAUUCAUAAAAACCUGUAGUAUUUAAAGAAAAUUAUUUUUUGAUGGUUUGUGAGCAAGCAAGAAAAUAUUUGUCACUUCACUUACGCAAUAGACUUAUAGCUACUGUCACACCUCUGGAUUUUUAUUAGCAUAUAUCAAAGAACUCUUAGAGCUGCAAGGUAUGCAAAAUAUUUUAUCACAGUACAGUAAAAAUAUUGCAAAAACCUCCAAAAAAUCUGUCCCUAGUUGAGUGUGAGAGGCUGAUGUCACCAUCCUGUAAAUCUUAAAGCUGAAAACAACUAAUGUGUCUCUUCUUUUCACACAUAAACACCUUCCUAAUAGAAUAAGGUUUCACCAGAAUAUGCAGAGUUUGAAAUUUCAGGAGGGUAUUAAGUUAGUUCUUUGGUACCCUGACUAAUGGUGGAAAGAAUAUCAUAGACACUUCUUUUAAAUACUCUCCUCUGUUUUGCUUGAAAUCCAACAUAUUAUUUAGUAUAUUAUUAGUGUUAUUAUUGAUAUUAUUUGUUUCUAUUUGAUUUAUCUCACAAGUUAUAUUGAAAAUCAAUUUAUUUUCAAGAUCCAGUCAUACAGUGAGUUUCUUAAACAUGAAUGCAUGAUUCAUAAAUUAAGUUCAUACUCUUAAACUUUAACUGUUAUAAUCCUGUUUGGGGCAGAGGUUGGUUAGUUUAUUUUGGAUGUUUUUCAUUACUGUCAGUGAUGAGGGCACAUAUGCAAUGGACUGUGCAAACGUGGUUCUGAGUUUUAUUCCUGAGGCUGUUUGGAGAAAUGGAGACAGAGAUCAAUUCAGUUGUCCACCAUCAUAUGUAUAAUUAUUGCUGAGAGUGGGAAACAGAACCAGAGAUCCUGAAAGGAAAGCAUGUUACCUACUCAUGGAGGAGGGCCAUAUAAGCUUGUUCUCCCUGCUUUGGAAUCAAUGAGAUAAAACACUGAAGUUCACUUUAUUUUUGACAUUCUUGGUAGUUGUGGAACUACUGCUAAAGGCAGACACUGUGUUUGGUGCUUUCCUGUUUAUUUGCACCUGCCGAUUUUUAUCCUAGAUUCUUUUUAUAUAAACUCUCUCCUCUUUGUUUGCACAGAGCAGGGACAUUUUGAUCUGAGAUUAAAGCAUGGCAGGAGCUACAAUAGUGUGGACAACUUUCAAGAGGCCACCAUAGUUUCUUUUGCAGCUACACUGCCUUUCUAAUAAGCUGUCCUCUGAACCACUUUCCUGAGCUCUUGAAUGUCUUCCAGCCUGUUCUUAUGGGUGUGAAACCUGAUCAGUGUUGGAGUCUCUGUACAAAGGGAUGUAGAGUACUGGUGAAAAGCCCAUAAGCUUCUGAUGUACUCUUUCUCAGCUGGGCUCUUUGACAGCAGGAGGAUCAGAAGUUUGAUUUUGAAUUGGCUUCACAGAAAGGAAAGAAGAACUUUAGCAUCACUUGAUUUUCAGAUUGAACAAGACCCUUUAAAUACCACAUACUGUAUUCUUGGGGAAUACGUAUAUCUUAGUGUACAUUUCAGCAAGCAGUUCUGCCUAAUCUUCAAGAUCUCCUCUAGAUCUGACUCUCCUCAAACUUGCCUUCCUUUGGAAUUGAAGAUGUCAGCCACCUGUUGAACCAGUUGAUCAGUGUCAACCAUAUAAUUUUUUUACCUGGAGGAGGCUAUUUCAAUGAAAAACUCAUUAUGUGCUUCCCCACAAAAAUAGAGUGCAGCAGUAGGAAUCAUGCCUGGUUUACUACAAUGGUUAAGCUUUUCCAGAUGCGAGAUCCAAGUUAUCAUUUCACCACACUUACAUGCUAGAGUGGCAAAUGUCUGGGUGUGGCAGUAGCCAUAGGAGCAGGCAGGCUCUUGGGGGAUGGUUGUGUAACACAGGGGUCAUGGCCCCUUGAAGCUUGAAGUUAUGGGGUCACAGGGGUUUAGGGUUCUUGUGUUUCAAAUAAGAGAGAGUCACAGUCUUAGGACUAGCCAAAGAGUAAUUAGUGCUUUUUCAGAUUACAGAGGGUAGGUUCACCACUCUGUUCAGCUAAAAGGGCUUUUGGGGUCAGUCAAAGUUCACUUAGAGCAAACCCAACCGUGUCUGAUUUUUAUGCAUGUCCCUAAUGGGCGCUUAAGGAAAGCAAAUAUCACAGCCAUUUUCCACCUCAGCCUUCUUGUCUUAAUUAUUUAUCCCUCUCUGGAGCUGUUGCUGGUGCAGAAGCUGGAAAUCUUGUGCAGGUGGAGACUUACCUAUUAAAAUGCAAGGUUCAUUACUCCUGUAUCCCAUGUGUUAGCUAACCAGAUGUUUCUCCAUCCCUCUUUUACCCCUGUUCCUUCGUGGUUUUAUGAAGGUGAAUGAAAUCAGGACAGAACAUAGCUGUGCUACAGGGAUUAUUGUGGAUGAAGGCAUAUUUAAUGUAUUGCAGAAAGCUGAAUAGUCAUGGAAAAAGAGCAAAAAUUAUACUUACAGACACUUAAUUUAGACUACAAUAAACGGGAAUGGAGGCUGGGAUGUUUUUCUGUAAAGUCAACUGCAAGAUAGCUGUUCAGGCUCCUUGCACAUCGGUGGGGAGAAAGACCGACUGAUUCAUGUGUCUUGCCCCUCUAUUUUUGGUGUUUGGUUGGUAUGUUUUGGUGUUUGGACAGGGAUGAACACUGUCCUUCAGUGUUAGGAAAGGAAACUGUCACUCCUUGUGCACAUGUACAAUAUUACUGCUCUGGAGUUCAAGUCACAGUUAAGGCCAUGGUUGAAAUCUAAAUAAGAACAAUAGCUGGUUACAAUUUGCAAUCUCAGCAAGGAAUCUGAAGACUGUCCAAGUGAGGAGACUGAAUGGGGAAUCUGGAGAUUGUCCAAGCAAGAAGACUCAAUGAUUAGCUCUGUCUAAAGCAGAUACAGCCAGACAGGCUGGGGGCAGUGGCCAUGGGUAAUGCCAUGAAAGCUUUGUUUUGAGGAAGGAAUGGCUUUCUCAGGUAUUCAGCCCAGCUCCAAAUCUCUUUAAAAAAAAAUCCAACCUGGAUCUGGGAGAGGGAGAAAGAAAGAAAGAAAGGCCUAAUUCUUAAAGAUCCCAUGAAAACAAUAAAUAGAGUUUAACAGUCAAUAGGCAGAUUAAACUGGCUGUGGAUCAAAACACAUCAGGAGUAAAGAUUUAUUGCAGAAAACUAGACAUGGAAUAAGCCCUGCUCUGUUGCUGGAGCUCUGACUAACUGGUUCUAGUGAGGAAAGGGAGGGGGAAAGAAAAUUACAGCCUUUAUAAAUAGGCAUCAGCAAAGCUGUUCCUGGCAUGCUUUCCUGCCCCAGUCCAUACCACCCAGUGGGGUAAAUAUCUCAUUCCAAUAAUACCACUGAUUAAAUGGCUGUGGGAUAAGGAAUUUAAUAAAUUCCACACAGCAUGUGAAUGGUAAUCAGGCCAGGAGCUUUAUGCACUUUGGCUUGUGACAUAUACCACUGGGAUAUAGGAUAAUUAAGGGAAUAUUCCCUCCUGUCUCCAGAUCUCUACUGACUGUAGGGCAUGCUGAGCCUUCUGUUUCAAGGGGUAUAAAUAGAGCAAAUGGGAUGAAAUUAGGUGGGAUACAUAGUUUGAAUACCAGUCAAAUCUACAGGGCAGGGGCACUGUCCUCUACAGCCUUUCACUUAAGGAGCUCUAGAUGUCCUGGUAAAUGACUUUAUUAAUCCUGCAGCCAAGGUGUGUAAUAUAUAUAUACUUGUUUGAUGGUUCAUUCUGACUCCUCAAUACAAGGCUAAAAGCCUUUUUAGAUCAUACAUGCUCUGUGUGCCUGGAGAUGAGAGUGAGAUUUUUUAAUCCCCUGCAUUGCUGUUAGUCUGUUAUAAGGUUUUUUUCAUCUGAGACAUUCAGUUCUGGGCUGGACUCUGUCUAGUAAGAAGGUACUUCUUCACAUUUCAAAUUCAUUGAACGUGUCACAUGAUGUGAAACCCAAACUUGCAUAUCCCAUAUUUCUGAUCAGAAUUCCCAGGCAGAAGCGUGACUCAUUCUGCAGCCAGUGCCUAUGGAAUGUGCCUGUGGGAGGCACGCUCCUGUAGGGAGCUCCUUGCAGUGUCUGGUUCUGAUGGAAGAAGCCUGUCCAGACUGCCAGCCCCAGUCUCCUGUGCACGCUGACUGACCCUCAUUGAGGAGUUUGGAAAAUAUAAAAUAUAAAAGAAUUGUUAACAUCCCUUUUGUCUGAGCAUAUGCCAGAAAACACAGGUCAAAUGCAGGGAUUUCAUCUUCUCCCCAGAGAAACUGCCUUCUCAGGCUGCUGUGAAUAAGCUGGGGCAUGCUAAACUUUUUGGUAUCUCCUUCCAGCGGACUCUAAAUUCUGAAACUGUGUCAUGAUGAAGAUAAUGCCCUGAAAGGCAAAGAUGUAGAAGAAUCCAAGUUGUUUUUUUUCUUUUAAGCUGUGUUCCUUUUGUAUUUUGGCAACAACUUUUAAAAGUUGUGAGUUGUUAGGUGUGUCUCAAGGCAGUUGUAUCUAUCUAUUAACCAGAACCCUGAUGUUUUUACAUCAACAAGCUUGCAAUACAGACUUGGUGCAUUUAAAUGGGUACAUCUAGAUGUGCAUAAAAUUGGAGGACUGUUUCUGUAAUAAUAAUAAUAUUAAUAAUGACAAUAAUAGUAAAAAUCUGUAGUUUGUGCAAGGCAUGUUGUGGGCUCUCAGAGGUCUCUUUUUUCAGAAGGCUCUCUCUUCCCCUACCACAUCUUUCCCUUCAGCUGCAUGAGUGGCUGCUACUUCAUUUAGCCUCUGGAGAAGGGGCUGACACGUACUUUGCCAGUGCAUUUCACAAGUCACAAGACAGGAGAUCAUGUAUCUUGGUUCUGUCCCUGGCUGUGAGAGAAGAAUGUGGCUUAUGGGUCUGAUAGGGGGUAAUCAAAGCUCAAUCAGCCUGAAAGACAUUACAGCUGACUAGUGAAGAUAUAGACUUACUGUGCUAUAGUCCUGCUUUCUGGCCAAGGUGACCUCUGGUAACCCCAGCGUUAGUGUUGCUCUGAAAUAUGGCAACAGCUUGAACUCAACUGUCUUCCAUAAUUGGGAUUUAUGGCCUUGGUCAGUAAUAAGGACAAAGAAAUGUGCAAUAUCAAUCACAGGAAGUUAUGAGUACGUGAACUAGAGUUAGCUCAGGGAACUGGCUCAGAGGUUACGCAGGUUUGGUGUGGGAGCAAUGUCCUUUUAUUCUUCCCACCUGUCCCUAAAACAAUCUUAGUCAUUACUGUCAUCGCUUCUUUAUGUUGUGUGUCUUUUCAGCCGUGCUAGAAAACGGGUAAGAUCAAAACAUGCUGAAUGUUUUGUAUUUGUAAUGCUCUUUUUUUUGCCAGUAUUUGGGGAUCAUCUUGCAAAGUAUGGUGGUUUUGAAUAGAUCUUUAAAAAACCAAGGUAAUCUGUUUAAAAAUUUGGGAAAAAACUCAGAAUUUGUUUUGGUUUUUGUUUUUAGUUACUAUCAUUAUCUUUUUCAUAAAAUGUGCUGUCCUCUGCACUUCCUCUGAGGAUGGUGUUUGCCAUUUUAUGAAAAUCUUCAUAUGACAGAAGAUUCUGUAAAAGUGAGAAUUUCUGAAACAGCCUUUACUCUUGAAUGGAACUCAUUAUCUCUGUUACCACUGCUUCCCAGUUAUUUUCAAUAGUUGAUAAAAAUCUCUUCUGUUUUCCAAUGAUAAACUAUAUUCAACCUCAGGAAACUGGUGCACAGCUUCUCAAAACCACUGGUAUGCUUCUCAAAACCUUUGGCUGUUUUAUAUUCACUCUAAUUUUAUUUUUUUUUGAGGUGUCUCUUGGUGUAUGGAAUGAUAAACACAGGGUCACUCUGUAGGUGUGGACAUUGGUAAGAUGUAGCCUCCAUGGUGACUAAUGGAUUUUUCUAAAAUUAUGUUAGAUUACUUCUAAAACACUAAUCUGAUACA
Passer domesticus (house sparrow) is the source of this 6852-nucleotide long non-coding RNA. RefSeq lists it as uncharacterized. The transcript has 6 exons. Lineage: Eukaryota; Metazoa; Chordata; Aves; Passeriformes; Passeridae. The record is from RefSeq and is a predicted model, not a curated record.